UGGAGAGUUUGAUCCUGGCUCAGGACGAACGCUGGCGGCGUGCUUAACACAUGCAAGUCGAACGGAAAGGCCCCUUCGGGGGUACUCGAGUGGCGAACGGGUGAGUAACACGUGGGUGAUCUGCCCUGCACUUCGGGAUAAGCCUGGGAAACUGGGUCUAAUACCGGAUAGGACCACGGGAUGCAUGUCCUGUAGUGGAAAGCUUUUGCGGUGUGGGAUGGGCCCGCGGCCUAUCAGCUUGUUGGUGGGGUGACGGCCUACCAAGGCGACGACGGGUAGCCGGCCUGAGAGGGUGUCCGGCCACACUGGGACUGAGAUACGGCCCAGACUCCUACGGGAGGCAGCAGUGGGGAAUAUUGCACAAUGGGCGCAAGCCUGAUGCAGCGACGCCGCGUGGGGGAUGACGGCCUUCGGGUUGUAAACCUCUUUCACCAUCGACGAAGGUCCGGGUUUCUCGGAUUGACGGUAGGUGGAGAAGAAGCACCGGCCAACUACGUGCCAGCAGCCGCGGUA
RNAcentral lists this ribosomal RNA (513 nucleotides) under Mycobacterium sp. N422. RNAcentral's name for it is "bacterial SSU rRNA". It matches the Rfam family "Bacterial small subunit ribosomal RNA", at positions 1 to 522 of the family's 1533-position model. Lineage: Bacteria; Bacillati; Actinomycetota; Actinomycetes; Mycobacteriales; Mycobacteriaceae. The record is from RNAcentral.